This is a long non-coding RNA of Pseudophryne corroboree (corroboree frog), 378 nucleotides long. RefSeq lists it as uncharacterized. The transcript has 2 exons. Lineage: Eukaryota; Metazoa; Chordata; Amphibia; Anura; Myobatrachidae. The record is from RefSeq and is a predicted model, not a curated record.
GAUCAGGGAGGAAAUUGAUGCUCGGCACCGCAGUGAGACUGUGAGUUACAGGGACUUCCCCUGCUGCUGCUGUUCCGUGCUCUCACACACUCACUUUUAGCUUGGGUGACUUCAGUGAAGAGUUUUUCAGAAAGCAUGGAAAACAUGUCAAGAGAUACAGAGUGUGGGGUUUCACCUUGUCAGAAUGUUUGGCAUACACGGACUUUAAGAAACAAACAAAAUCACCUUUUGCCAUUUACACCGAGAGAUUUUACAAUUGUUUUUCAGCGGCUACCUUGUAAUGUCAGAGCAGAUGAGGAUUGCUGGUGGAGAAGAGAGUUUGUUUACUUUUGUGUUCUUUUAGCAUUUUAUGCAAUAAAAAGUUAUUUGUGCAUUUUA